RNAcentral lists this long non-coding RNA (1176 nucleotides) under Junco hyemalis (dark-eyed junco). RNAcentral describes it as "lncRNA (ENSJHYG00000000141.1)". Lineage: Eukaryota; Metazoa; Chordata; Aves; Passeriformes; Passerellidae. The record is from RNAcentral.
AUGCAUAGGCUAAUACAUAAAUGCAAAAGCCAGUAUUAUCUGGUCAUUUUCAACACAUGGCAGGGAGCAGAGCACGAUGGGCUUGAAGGUGCCUUCCAGACCAAGCCCUCUUGGCAUUCUGUGACAACACUGUCACCCCAAAUCUUGUUUUCUGGGAAUAAUCCUGGGAAAAUGGAAGGAAGCCAUUUCUCCCGGCUGUGGGGUGCUUGUGGGAGCCCUCACUGGGAAGGAAUUGUGUCAUGUCCCCGCCUGCCCGCCAGCUGCUACAGCGCGGACACCCAGAGGAAUGGCGGCUCUGUGGUCCCGGGGUUGUGGAAUCCCGGGAAUGCCCGCCAUCCUCACGGAAGAGCUGCUCGGCUUUAUUUUUCAUUUAUUUCCCUUGGGACAUUAAGCCUCUCCCGGCGCCCCCGUCCCGCUGCCCGCAGUGGUACAGCCCGCUGGCGCGCGCCAAUUGCGUCACCGCGCGUCGCCUGCGCCACCCGGAAGCGCUUUGGUGGCGGCGGAAAAGCGGCGCGUGCGGCUGGUUUUGUUUGUGGCCGGACCCGCCGCGGGGGCUCGUACGCGCCUCCCGCGGGGGCCUCCGCUCGCCGUCCCACGAUCGGCCCCAUGGCCUUCAACUUCAGCGCCACGGCGGGAGCCGGGGCCGCCAACCCGACCGGUGAGCGCGGGGGAAACGGGGCGCGGAGGGGCGGGACGGGGGGAGCCGAGCGGCGGGCAGCGCGUGCCCCCCCCCCCUCCUGGCCAAUGAGAGCCGCGGCGGCCGGCAGCGCGUGCCCCCUCGCCAAUGAAAACCGCGGCCGCCUCAAAGGGCCGCGCGUGCCCCCCGGCCAAUGGGGAAUCGUGACGGCGGCUCGCGCGUGUUCCCCUCGUACCGCUCUCCCCGCGCCAGCGAGAACGGCGGCGGCCGGCAGCGCGUGCCCCCCCGCCAGUGGGAAUCACUGCCGCCUCAGGGACCCGCGUGUGCCCCCCCACCAAUUGGAAUCGCGGCCCCCUGAGGGACCCGCGCGUGCUCCCCCGCCAGUGAGACCGGCGGCGGCGGCCCGCGCGUGCCCUGCGGCCAAUGGAACCGGCGGUGGCGGGCAGCGCGUGCCCCCCAGCCAAUGGAAGCCGCGACUGCCUCAGAGGCGCCGUCCCGCGCCCCGCGCGGCCCCCGGUGGGUCCGGGAGCGGCUCUUGA